This 248-nucleotide long non-coding RNA is filed under the name Bos indicus x Bos taurus (hybrid cattle). Its description in RNAcentral is "lncRNA (ENSBIXG00000028624.1)". Lineage: Eukaryota; Metazoa; Chordata; Mammalia; Artiodactyla; Bovidae. The record is from RNAcentral.
CACGGGACCCUUCCAGUAGGACUGGUGGGGACAGACAGCCGUGAAUCAGGCUUUCCUGACGACAUCAGGCAUGGAUGGGCAAUUGGGACAUUUUUCCGGAAGAGGAGCCCGGUGAAAUAUUUAAUAAAUAAAAUCCAUUAAGAAGACCAUGUUGACCAGAUCUCCUCAAAUUUCCUCCAGGUAAGUGCAGUGAUAAAGGCCACCAGCAGCUGGGGUGGGCGUGUGAGUGGCCAGGCACACGCUUGCCC